Molecule: transfer RNA, 74 nt
Filed under: Candidatus Woesearchaeota archaeon
Lineage: Archaea; Nanobdellati; Candidatus Woesearchaeota
Description: tRNA-Arg
Rfam family: tRNA
About the family: Transfer RNA (tRNA) molecules are approximately 80 nucleotides in length. Their secondary structure includes four short double-helical elements and three loops (D, anti-codon, and T loops).
Source: RNAcentral
GCUCCUGUAGUAUAGCUUGGACAGUAUACGACCCUCCGGAGGUUGUGACCCGCGUUCAAAUCGCGGCGGGAGCG